Molecule: long non-coding RNA, 2063 nt
Organism: Tripterygium wilfordii
Lineage: Eukaryota; Viridiplantae; Streptophyta; Magnoliopsida; Celastrales; Celastraceae
Exons: 3
Source: RefSeq, a predicted model, not a curated record
UCCGUCAGUCUCUCAACGCGUAAUGGCAAAAUCGUUUUAAAUAGCGCCGUUGAGGGACUAUAUGGGAAACUAAAAGUGACGCGAAUAGCCUAUUGGCGCUUUCGAAUUAAGAGCGGGAGAAAAUUUCUCCGGAUCUGCUUCUCUCCUCUGCGAUCUGGUUAGGGAUUUUGAUUCUCCUUGAAAUUCUUGGAUCUUAUUUUGUUUUGCAAUUGAUCUUCAAUUUGAUUUUAGGCGCGCCGUGCGCGAAGGGGAAGAACUCUCUCCGGAUCUGCUUCUCUCUCCUCGGUGAUCUGUGUAGGGUUUCUCUCCUUAAAAUUCUAGCAUCUUUUUUCGUUUUAGUUUUUUUUGGUCGAAUUGAUUCUUAGGUGGUUGAAUUAGAUGUUAUGCGCUCAAUAGAGAGGAACAAAACUCUUCUCUCUCCCGUCGGUGAUCUGGUCAGGGUUUAGAUUUCCUUAAAUCUCCUUAAAAUCUAGAAUCUUUAAUUUUUUUUUUAGAAUUCACGCUUAAUCUGUUGAAAACAGGGCUCAUGGAAUACUGUUUAAGAUUCAUGAUCGGGUGAAGAAGAUCCAUAUCAAACACGCUUAAUCUCUUCUCUCUCUCUAGAAUGGAUUACUCUCUGCAAUCUCUGAUCCUUAACCUUCUCCACUCUUCUUCCUCAGCGAGACUUUCUCUUUUGCUCUUAGAUGUGGACUCAUGGCAGUUGUAAAGUGGAAGUGUUUAACAUACAAGUUUUCGUAGUGUGUUUUUUUGGUAUCGUUCUUGUUUUACUGAGAUGGACUCGUAAUUAGGUUAGAUCUAUGUUUAGUUUUGCUUCUCAUUCUGUUCAUACUUGUUUCUUGUACUUGCUGUUGCGCGUUUUGGCCCUGUAAAGUGUAAGUGUUUAACAUGCAACUAUGCAAAUUUUCGUAGUGUGUUUUUUUGGUAUUGUUCUUGUUUAUCUGAGAUGGACUCGUAAUUAGGUUAGAUCUAUGUUUAGUUUUGCUUCUCAUUCUGUUCAUACUUGUUUCUUGUACUUGCGUAUGUUGUGCAAUUUAUAUCUGUUUCUAGUUCUUUCAGUGCAAUGUUUAUGAGCUUGUGUUGUUCAGUGAAUGCUGUUGAAUUACUUGGUUUACGAGUUCUUUUAUAAAUUAAAUGCAUAGACACUUUCAUUUUUAUAUCAACGGUGCCCAUCCUCUUUUUUGAAAAGAGUCAAAGACAUAACCAAAAUUCAUUAGAUUAUGAAAUUGGGGUGAAUUUCGCUGUUCAAAAACUUUCUGCAGUUGAAAGAUCUAGUGUGUUAGAUAUUCAUUAGUGAUUGAACUCUGUUGUGUGACUUUGUGAUGUUAUGUGUUACUUGUUGGAAAUGUUAACAAGCCAUUGCUAUGUUUUCAAUUUUUCAUGGUUGAGGAUGGGAAUAUAUUGCACUGUCAUUUUUCGCUAUUUCUUACUGUGCAGUUAUAUUUCUUUGCUUUUUCGAUAUACUUGAACUUAUUUGAUUUCAUGCGCAUAGUUUUAACUUUGUGAUAGUUUUGACCUUGUAUCUGAUCAUCAAGUGAAUAUACGGAAGGAAGCAGCUGUUGAAAUGGUUCAAAUUGUUGUGAUGAUUAUGGGUUUUCUUUUCCAGAUUGACCAUGCAAAUUACAAGAGGAUCUCAUCUGUUUUGGAGUAAAUCAAGGUAAUAUGCUUGGCGGCAUACCGGACCUAAGUAUGCCGCCAACUUGAUUUACCUUGCUGCUUCUGUGCUGAGAUGAUUACUAAUGUUGCUCUCUGGCUCUCUGCCUAUUUGAGGCAGUUAAGGUUUGAGUACAAACUCAGCCUGGUUUUACUAGGAGUGUUUUGAACGGACUUCCCAACUUUGUUAAAUCAGUGGGAGACUCUAGAGGUUCUACAAAGGCCUUGUUCCUCUCGUAGUGGAUUAAAUUCCAUGUAUGUGGCAAACUUUUUAUGUUAUAUAUCAUUUAUUUGUGGAUGCUGUUAAUAGCAAUAUCUGUCUCCUGAUGUGUAAUACUAUUAAGCGUUGCUCAUGUUCCUUUUUUUUUUUUCAAAUGUGAUUCCAUCAUCUAUAAUAUGCUUCUUCUUGUGUG